GACGUCCCCACGCCAACGUCCCCAUCCCCACGCCAACGUCCCCAUGCCCACACCAAUGUCCCCAUCCCCACGCCAACAUCCCAAUGCCCACGCCGAUGUCUCCACGCCAGCGUCCCCACACCGAUGUCCCCAUGCCAACGUCCCCAUCCCCACGCCAACAUCCCCACAUCAAUGUCCCCAUGCCCACGCUGACGUCCCCACGCCAAUGUCCCGUCAGUGUCCCCAUGCCAACGUCCCCAUCCCCACGCCAACAUCCCAAUGCCCAUGCCAGCGUCCCCACGCCGAUGUCCCCACACCGACAUCCCCGCGCCCACGCCAAUGUCCCCAUGCCAAUGUCCCCAUGCCCACGCCAACAUCCCAAUGUCUAUGCCAACGUCCCCACGCCAAUGUCCCCACCCCCACGCCAACAUCCCAAUGCCCAUGCCAGUGCCCCCAUGCCAACGUCCCUGUGCCAGUGUCCCCACACCAACGUCCCCAUGCCCACGCCAACAUCCCAAUGCCCAUGCCAACGUCCCCACACCGAUGUCCCCAUGCCAACGUCCCCAUCGCCAUGCCAACGUUCCACACUGAUGCCCCCACGCCCACGCCGACGUCCCCACGCCAAUGUCCCAUCAAUGUCCCCACACCAACAUCCCAAUGCCCACGCCAGCGUCCCCACGUCAAUGUCCCCACACCGAUGUCCCCACGCCAACGUCCCCAGGCCCACGCCGACGUCCCCACGCCCACGCCGACGUCCCCACUCACAACUUGUGCUUGCAGGUGAGCAUGGCCUCGGCCACGGGCAGCUGGUGGGUGGCGCCGGCGCCCGCCACGUAGGCCAUGAUGCGUCCCACCACGUUGAAGGGCUCUGCGGGCGUCACGGCGGGUGGCAGCACCCACGGGGGGCGAGGGGGAAGGGUGUAGGUGCCCCGACGCCCACCCCUGGGUGCCCACCACCCGCCCCUUGGUGCCCACCCAUGGCCACGUAUCGCCAGGGCCCAGCCCUAGAAUGAGCACCCAUGGGUGCCCCUGCUGCUCCCGGGUGUUGGCCCGGAGAUGCCCAUCCCUGGGUGUUCCCAUUCAUGGUGGUGCCCACCCAAGGGUGCUCCAAGAUGCCCAUCUCUGGGUGCUCC
Molecule: long non-coding RNA, 1112 nt
Filed under: Apteryx haastii (Great spotted kiwi)
Lineage: Eukaryota; Metazoa; Chordata; Aves; Apterygiformes; Apterygidae
Description: lncRNA (ENSAHAG00000003421.1)
Source: RNAcentral